AAAAAAAAAAAAAAAAAAAAAAAAAAAAAAAAAAAAAAAAAAAA
RNAcentral lists this non-coding RNA (44 nucleotides) under Alexandrium minutum. The record is from RNAcentral. Lineage: Eukaryota; Dinophyceae; Gonyaulacales; Pyrocystaceae.